GUUGAUAACACGAUGAUGAUGAUACGACUUCAGUGUACCGAUGAUAAGCGAUAACGGACGUGUUCCGAAGUCCGUGACGUGCAGAGACCGCAACCGAAACAGUUGACUCUUCUUGUCAGUUCUUUUUUUUUCAGCACGCACCGAUGCCGAUGGCACUAUCGAUCGGCAACGAGCCCAAAGCAGUUUGCAACGCAUAUGAGACCAAGGGUGGAUCGUGGAACGAGUAACGUAACCUAAUGUCAGUGAUCGUUCGAUAAAUGUACAGAGUUGGAUAGUUGGCGGUAAAUACAUGGCAAGAAAAGUUUUAUGAAGUAUUAUGAAAUGUAUUUCAUCUAUGUUUGAAGUGUUUGAGAAGACUAGGAACGCUUAAAAAUUUAAUUGGCCAUUAGUAAGCGAAUAUUUGAAAAAUGUGUCACGUGAUUUAGAUAUUUAAUAAAAAUAUUAACAACUUUUUCAUUUACAAAUAAUUUUCCAUGUUAUUGAUCCGCAACAUCUGUUAUAGAUAUUGUUCAUGGUCAAGUUUUGACAAAAAAAAUUCCGUUAUAUAACAUAAAAAAACCAGAUCCUUACAGUGUAACAAUUAUGUUUAUUUAAAAAUCAAUAAAUAUUGUAUUUAUAAGAAAAGAUAAGGUAUAGAUUAAGAUGUAUAGGCAAAUUAUACAGUAUUUGAUAAUUAUUCAACAUUUUAUAAAG
Long non-coding RNA from Sipha flava (yellow sugarcane aphid), 693 nucleotides. RefSeq lists it as uncharacterized. The record is from RefSeq and is a predicted model, not a curated record. The transcript has 3 exons. NCBI's taxonomy places the organism in Eukaryota, Metazoa, Arthropoda, Insecta, Hemiptera, Aphididae.